GGAUGUAAGGGCGCUCUGGCUGUGACAUCUGUCACCCCAUUGAUGGCCAGGGUUCAUUCGGCUGAUCUGGCUGGCUAGGCCAGUGUCCCCUUCCUCCCUCCCUGUUCCAUGUGCAUCCCUCCAGAAGCUGCGCGCUCGGUCGAAAAGUACAACCAUCCCCAACAGAGGAAGAUCAGUCUUCGGUCAAGGGUAUAGGAGUAGCUGUGCUCCCCUACUAGAACCUCCAAACAAGCUCUCAAGGUCCUAUAUUCUGACUAAAAAUAUACUCUAAGAAUCAAAUUUUCUUAGUUCCACCUUAGUCUAAAAUAGUGCUAUUGAAUAUAGUAAUUCUUUUUU
Unclassified non-coding RNA from Dipodomys ordii (Ord's kangaroo rat), 336 nucleotides. Its record names the gene 7SK. It matches the Rfam family "7SK RNA". Rfam says of the family: 7SK was discovered as an abundant small nuclear RNA in the mid-70s but a possible function has only recently been suggested. Two independent studies have found that 7SK RNA binds the CDK9/cyclin T complex (known as elongation factor P-TEFb). Lineage: Eukaryota; Metazoa; Chordata; Mammalia; Rodentia; Heteromyidae. The record is from Ensembl.